GUGCAGCAGUCGCGAAAACUUCGCAAUGCGCGAAAGCGUGACGAGGUCAGCCCGAGUGCUAUCCGCUGAGGAUAGCUUUUCUUUGGUGUAAGGAGCCAAAGGAAUAAGAGGAGGGUAAGUCUGGUGUCAGCCGCCGCGGUAAUACCAGCUUCUCGAGUGGUGGGGGCGAUUAUUGGGCCUAAAGCGUCCGUAGCCCGCUUGUUAAGUCCUCCGUUAAAUCCGACGAUUCAAUCGUUGGGCCGCGGAGGAUACUGUCAAGCUAGGGGGCGGAAGAGGCUGACGGUAUUCUCAGGGUAGGGGUGAAAUCCUAUAAUCCUGGGAGGACCACCAGUGGCGAAGGCGGUCAGCUAGAACGCGCCCGACGGUGAGGGACGAAAGCUGGGGGAGCAAACCGGAUUAGAUACCCGGGUAGUCC
Molecule: ribosomal RNA, 415 nt
Filed under: uncultured crenarchaeote
Lineage: Archaea; Thermoproteati; Thermoproteota
Description: partial 16S ribosomal RNA
Rfam family: Archaeal small subunit ribosomal RNA
Source: RNAcentral